AUUGAACGCUGGCGGCAGGCCUAACACAUGCAAGUCGAGCGAGCGGCGGACGGGGGUGUAAUGUAUGGGGACUGCCCGAUAUGGGGGGAUAACUCCUGGAAACGGUAGCUCAUACCGCAUACUCUCUCAUUACCCCUAUGUGAUGAGCUAGUAGGUGAGGGAAUGGCUCACCUAGGCGACGAUCCCUAGCUGGUCUGAGAGGAUGAUCAGCCACACUGGGACUGAGACACGGCCCAGACUCCUACGGAGGCAGCAGUGGGGAAUAUUGCACAAUGGGCGCAAGCCUGAUGCAGCCAUGCCGCGUGUAUGAAGAAGGCCCUAGGGUUGUAAAGUACUUUCAGUCGGGAGGCGUUACCGACAGAAGAAGCACCGGCUAACUCCGUGCCAGCAGCCGCGGUAAUAC
RNAcentral lists this ribosomal RNA (403 nucleotides) under uncultured bacterium. RNAcentral's name for it is "partial 16S ribosomal RNA". It matches the Rfam family "Bacterial small subunit ribosomal RNA", at positions 30 to 526 of the family's 1533-position model. The record is from RNAcentral.